AUUGAACGCUGGCGGCAGGCCUAACACAUGCAAGUCGAGCGGAUGAAGGGAGCUUGCUCCUGGAUUCAGCGGCGGACGGGUGAGUAAUGCCUAGGAAUCUGCCUGGUAGUGGGGGAUAACGUCCGGAAACGGGCGCUAAUACCGCAUACGUCCUGAGGGAGAAAGUGGGGGAUCUUCGGACCUCACGCUAUCAGAUGAGCCUAGGUCGGAUUAGCUAGUUGGUGGGGUAAAGGCCUACCAAGGCGACGAUCCGUAACUGGUCUGAGAGGAUGAUCAGUCACACUGGAACUGAGACACGGUUCAGACUCCUACGAGAGGCAGCAGUGGGGAAUAUUGGACAAUAGGCGAAAGCCUGAUCCAGCCAUGCCGCGUGUGUGAAGAAGGUCUUCGGAUUGUAAAGCACUUUAAGUUGGGAGGAAGGGCAGUAAGUUAAUACCUUGCUGUUUUGACGUUACCAACAGAAUAUGCACCGGCUAACUUCGUG
This 484-nucleotide ribosomal RNA is filed under the name uncultured bacterium. Its description in RNAcentral is "partial 16S ribosomal RNA". It matches the Rfam family "Bacterial small subunit ribosomal RNA", at positions 30 to 507 of the family's 1533-position model. The record is from RNAcentral.